RNAcentral lists this ribosomal RNA (497 nucleotides) under uncultured bacterium. Its description in RNAcentral is "partial 16S ribosomal RNA". It matches the Rfam family "Bacterial small subunit ribosomal RNA", at positions 28 to 507 of the family's 1533-position model. The record is from RNAcentral.
GAUGAACGCUGGCGGCGUGCCUAAUACAUGCAAGUCGAGCGAACAGACGAGGAGCUUGCUCCUCUGACGUUAGCGGCGGACGGGUGAGUAACACGUGGAUAACCUACCUAUAAGACUGGGAUAACUUCGGGAAACCGGAGCUAAUACCGGAUAAUAUAUUGAACCGCAUGGUUCAAUAGUGAAAGACGGUUUUGCUGUCACUUAUAGAUGGAUCCGCGCCGCAUUAGCUAGUUGGUAAGGUAACGGCUUACCAAGGCAACGAUGCGUAGCCGACCUGAGAGGGUGAGCGGCCACACUGGAACUGAGACGCGGUCCAGACUCCUACGGGAGGCAGCAGUAGGGAAUCUUCCGCAAUGGGCGAAAGCCUGACGGAGCAACGCCGCGUGAGUGAUGAAGGUCUUCGGAUCGUAAAACUCUGUUAUUAGGGAAGAACAAAUGUGUAAGUAACUAUGCACGUCUUGACGGUACCUAAUCAGAAAGCCACGGCUAACUACGUG